This 242-nucleotide ribosomal RNA is filed under the name uncultured bacterium. Its description in RNAcentral is "partial 16S ribosomal RNA". It matches the Rfam family "Bacterial small subunit ribosomal RNA", at positions 90 to 334 of the family's 1533-position model. The record is from RNAcentral.
GAUUAGUGGCGAACGGGUGAGUAACACGUGGGUGAUCUGCCCUGCACUUUGGGAUAAGCCUGGGAAACUGGGUCUAAUACCGGAUAGGACUACGCUCUGCAUGGGGUGUGGUGGAAAGCUUUGCGGUGUGGGAUGGGCCCGCGGCCUAUCAGCUUGUUGGUGGGGUGAUGGCCUACCAAGGCGACGACGGGUAGCCGGCCUGAGAGGGUGUCCGGCCACACUGGGACUGAGAUACGGCCCAG